This 834-nucleotide ribosomal RNA is filed under the name uncultured bacterium. RNAcentral's name for it is "bacterial SSU rRNA". It matches the Rfam family "Bacterial small subunit ribosomal RNA", at positions 61 to 901 of the family's 1533-position model. The record is from RNAcentral.
GUCGAGGGGUAUAGGUUUUCGGACCUAGAGACCGGCGCACGGGUGCGUAACGCGUAUGCAAUCUACCUUUUACAGAGGGAUAGCCCAGAGAAAUUUGGAUUAAUACCUCAUAGUAUUAUUGAAUGGCAUCAUUUAAUAAUUAAAGUCACAACGGUAAAAGAUGAGCAUGCGUCCCAUUAGCUUGUUGGUAAGGUAACGGCUUACCAAGGCAACGAUGGGUAGGGGUCCUGAGAGGGAGAUCCCCCACACUGGUACUGAGACACGGACCAGACUCCUACGGGAGGCAGCAGUGAGGAAUAUUGGUCAAUGGGCGCAAGCCUGAACCAGCCAUGCCGCGUGCAGGAUGAAGCAUCUAUGGUGUGUAAACUGCUUUUGUACGAGAAGAAACACUCCUUCGUGAAGGAGCUUGACGGUAUCGUAAGAAUAAGGACCGGCUAACUCCGUGCCAGCAGCCGCGGUAAUACGGAGGGUCCAAGCGUUAUCCGGAAUCAUUGGGUUUAAAGGGUCCGUAGGCGGUUUUGUAAGUCAGUGGUGAAAGCCCAUCGCUCAACGGUGGAACGGCCAUUGAUACUGCAAGACUUGAAUUAUUAGGAAGUAACUAGAAUAUGUAGUGUAGCGGUGAAAUGCUUAGAGAUUACAUGGAAUACCAAUUGCGAAGGCAGGUUACUACUAAUGGAUUGACGCUGAUGGACGAAAGCGUGGGGAGCGAACAGGAUUAGAUACCCUGGUAGUCCACGCCGUAAACGAUGGAUACUAGCUGUUCGGAGCAAUCUGAGUGGCUAAGCGAAAGUGAUAAGUAUCCCCACCUGGGAGUACGUUUCGCAGAAUGAAACU